This 85-nucleotide transfer RNA is filed under the name Bacteroidetes bacterium GWF2_43_63. RNAcentral's name for it is "tRNA-Ser". It matches the Rfam family "tRNA". From Rfam's summary of the family: Transfer RNA (tRNA) molecules are approximately 80 nucleotides in length. Their secondary structure includes four short double-helical elements and three loops (D, anti-codon, and T loops). RNAcentral also lists the same sequence under 1 other name. The record is from RNAcentral. Lineage: Bacteria; Pseudomonadati; Bacteroidota.
GGAGAGAUGCCAGAGUGGUCGAUCGGGGCGGUCUCGAAAACCGUUGACCCGCAAGGGUCCCAGGGUUCGAAUCCCUGUCUCUCCG